AACGCACGAGACCUGCGGACCUGCGGAGGGAUCACUACCGAGUUAUCCAACUCCCAACCCCUGUGAAUUAUACCUUUAAUUGUUGCUUCGGCGGGACUUCGCGCCCGCCGGGGACCCAAACCUUCUGAAUUUUUUAAUAAGUAUCUUCUGAGUGGUUAAAAAAAUGAAUCAAAACUUUCAACAACGGAUCUCU
This 193-nucleotide unclassified non-coding RNA is filed under the name soil metagenome. RNAcentral's name for it is "partial contains 5.8S ribosomal RNA, internal transcribed spacer 2, and large subunit ribosomal RNA". The record is from RNAcentral.